GGCUCAAGUGUGGAGCUAGGAGAAUCCACUUCACCCGCGAACUUGAUGGAAAUGCUCACUCGUGAACCUCACCCCAGACCCACUGAAUCAGAAGCUCUGGAGCGGAGAUCCACCCUCCCAGAUUCUUUGGGGUGCUUGGCCCCCGGACAGUACAGAGCUGAAAGCUGAACUGCAGCGAGAUCAGCAGACGUGAUGUUUACCAUCCUGCCUUCCGAGAAAGUGGGUGGGAAGUGGGGCAAGUGAUGCAAGACUAAUGUGUUCACUUCUCGCUCCUUCUCAGACUUGUUUUGGCAGCCAGGUGAGCUCAGCAGCUUCUGAAGACAGCCAGCGGGGAGGCGUGGGGCAGGAGUAAAUCCUUGCCCUGUUGACUUUUUUCCUCUUUGCACAGCAAUUUCACGUUGCACUUGUCUUUUCUUAUUUGAGUUCAACAUUUAGGUAUGCUUCUAAGAUCCUAAACUUCUUUCUCCUGAAGCCCAAGGAAGGAAAGGAAAAUCAAGAAGGAAAAAAAAAAAACGAAGAAAAAUGAAGGUCGCACAAAAAGUUAGAAAAGUGGUAAGAGGAGACAGAGGCGAAGACUGAGGUGGAAAUUACUGUUAGGGAAAACAGCUGACAUACCAUGAACACACCCAGGCGGCUCUGUGAAGCCCAUAUUGUAAUGAACUGAGGCCUUCUGCCAAUAGCCACCUGAGCAAGCCAUCUUCAAAGUGGAUCCUCUAAGUCUGGUCAAGCCAUCAGAUGACUUCUCAUAAGGUUGCAGCCUUGACUGACAGCUUGACAGGAACCUCAUGAAAUCCCUGGAGCCAGAAGCCCCUAGGAAAGCUGCUCCCAGAUUCCUAACUCAGAAAUUGUGUGCGAUAAUAAAUAUGUGUUGUUUUAAGAUGCUAAUCUUUUGUUUAAUUUGUUAUACAGCAAUAGAUAACUAAUCUAGUUAUCUAAUGCAUGGCCUCCACAAGUUUGCAAUGCAGUUGGAGAAGUAAGUUACA
Molossus molossus (Pallas's mastiff bat) is the source of this 983-nucleotide long non-coding RNA. RefSeq lists it as uncharacterized. The transcript is spliced from 3 exons. The record is from RefSeq and is a predicted model, not a curated record. Lineage: Eukaryota; Metazoa; Chordata; Mammalia; Chiroptera; Molossidae.